Molecule: ribosomal RNA, 253 nt
Filed under: uncultured bacterium
Lineage: Bacteria
Description: partial 16S ribosomal RNA
Rfam family: Bacterial small subunit ribosomal RNA
Source: RNAcentral
UACGUAGGGGGCAAGCGUUAUCCGGAUUUACUGGGUGCAAAGGGAGCGUAGGCGGCUUUGCAAGCCAGAUGUGAAAGCCCGGGGCUCAACCCCGGGACUGCAUUUGGAACUGUAUGGCUGGAGUGUCGGAGAGGCAGGCGGAAUUCCUAGUGUAGCGGUGAAAUGCGUAGAUAUUAGGAGGAACACCAGUGGCGAAGGCGGCCUGCUGGACGAUGACUGACGUUGAGGCUCGAAAGCGUGGGGAGCAAACAGG